GUACAGGGAGAAUAAUUCAACUAUGUUUAAAUGAACAAGAUGUUGAACAAGCGCAAAGAGUUCCAUCAUGUGCAGCAGAUACUACUGCGAGAAAUUCUUCGUCGUCACUGCUUGACGAAGAUUUUUCCUCCAGUGAGCAAAAAUCGCUGUCGGAAUCCUUUAAUAACAAAAGUAAUUGAGUUUCUUCCUCUUCCUCUAUUUCCUGUGCGUGCGUAGUCAUCUCUCAGUGUAUUGCAAAAAGUAAUCACUACGUUUAGUAGUAUAUUGUGGAAUUUGUGAAUUAAUUUAAUUUCGAAAAACUAACUUCAACAAACGUCAAACUGACAAAACAAACAAAGCUCAAAGCGCUAAAAAGUGCAUUCCGAUUUGAACAGUGAUUUGAUACUAAUUUCAAUUCGGAACGGGCGAUAUCGAUGAGAUCGCUGUAAUCGAUUUCAUCGCAUUUCGGAACGAAGCCCGAGUUAGCCAUGAUUAACCAUGGAGUUCUCCAAGCGCCAUGGUAUAAACCCUUAGACAAAGAAUAGGUUUCUUUAUCUAAGGAUUAAC
RNAcentral lists this unclassified non-coding RNA (546 nucleotides) under Melitaea cinxia (Glanville fritillary). RNAcentral's name for it is "misc RNA ENSMCXG00005016246.1". Lineage: Eukaryota; Metazoa; Arthropoda; Insecta; Lepidoptera; Nymphalidae. The record is from RNAcentral.